This 492-nucleotide ribosomal RNA is filed under the name uncultured bacterium. RNAcentral's name for it is "bacterial SSU rRNA". It matches the Rfam family "Bacterial small subunit ribosomal RNA", at positions 395 to 905 of the family's 1533-position model. The record is from RNAcentral.
UGCCGCGUGAGUGACGAAGGCCUUAGGGUCGUAAAGCUCUUUCGCCUGUGAUGAUAAUGACAGUAGCAGGUAAAGAAACCCCGGCUAACUCCGUGCCAGCAGCCGCGGUAAUACGGAGGGGGUUAGCGUUGUUCGGAAUUACUGGGCGUAAAGCGCACGUAGGCGGAUCAGAAAGUUGGGGGUGAAAUCCCGGGGCUCAACCCCGGAACUGCCUCCAAAACUUCUGGUCUGGAGUUCGAGAGAGGUGAGUGGAAUUCCGAGUGUAGAGGUGAAAUUCGUAGAUAUUCGGAGGAACACCAGUGGCGAAGGCGGCUCACUGGCUCGAUACUGACGCUGAGGUGCGAAAGUGUGGGGAGCAAACAGGAUUAGAUACCCUGGUAGUCCACACCGUAAACGAUGAAUGCCAGUCGUCGGCAAGCAUGCUUGUCGGUGACACACCUAACGGAUUAAGCAUUCCGCCUGGGGAGUACGGUCGCAAGAUUAAAACUCAAA